Molecule: ribosomal RNA, 511 nt
Filed under: uncultured bacterium
Lineage: Bacteria
Description: partial 16S ribosomal RNA
Rfam family: Bacterial small subunit ribosomal RNA
Source: RNAcentral
GAUGAACGCUGGCGGCGUGCCUAAUACAUGCAAGUCGAACGAAACUUCUUUAUCACCGAGUGCUUGCACUCACCGAUAAAGAGUUGAGUGGCGAACGGGUGAGUAACACGUGGGCAACCUGCCCAAAAGAGGGGGAUAACACUUGGAAACAGGUGCUAAUACCGCAUAACCAUAGUUACCGCAUGGUAACUAUGUAAAAGGUGGCUAUACUACCGCUUUUGGAUGGGCCGCGGCGCAUUAGCUAGUUGGUAGGGUAAAGGCUUACCAAGGCAAUGAUGCGUAGCCGAAUUGAGAGGUUGAUCGGCCACAUUGGGACUGAGACACGGCCCAAACUCCUACGGGAGGCAGCAGUAGGGAAUCUUCCACAAUGGGCGAAAGCCUGAUGGAGCAACGCCGCGUGGGUGAAGAAGGUCUUCGGAUCGUAAAACCCUGUUGUUAGAGAAGAAAGUGCGUGAGAGUAACUGUCCACGUUUCGACGGUAUCUAACCAGAAAGCCACGGCUAACUACGUG